GCAAGUAGAGGAUGUAGCUCAGAUGGUAGAGCCCUCGCUUAGCAUGCGAGAGGCAUGGAGAUCGAUACCUGGAUCUGCA
Ilex paraguariensis (yerba mate) is the source of this 79-nucleotide non-coding RNA. The record is from the annotation of a GenBank genome assembly. Lineage: Eukaryota; Viridiplantae; Streptophyta; Magnoliopsida; Aquifoliales; Aquifoliaceae.